UACGUAGGGGGCGAGCGUUGUCCGGAAUAAUUGGGCGUAAAGGGCGCGUAGGCGGCUCUGCAAGUCAGUAGUGGAAGUCCCAUUUUCAAGGUGGGGAGGGCUAUUGAAACUGCGGAGCUUGAGUGCAGGAGAGGUUAUCGGAAUUCCCGGUGUAGCGGUGAAAUGCGUAGAGAUCGGGAGGAACACCAGUGGCGAAGGCGGGUAACUGGACUGCAACUGACGCUGAGGCGCGAAAGUGUGGGGAGCAAACAGGAUUAGAUACCCCCGUAGUCCCUGA
This 277-nucleotide ribosomal RNA is filed under the name uncultured prokaryote. Its description in RNAcentral is "partial 16S ribosomal RNA". It matches the Rfam family "Bacterial small subunit ribosomal RNA", at positions 524 to 800 of the family's 1533-position model. The record is from RNAcentral.